RNAcentral lists this long non-coding RNA (10121 nucleotides) under Brassica rapa (field mustard). RNAcentral describes it as "long non-coding RNA (BRAP_LNC000733)". The record is from RNAcentral. Lineage: Eukaryota; Viridiplantae; Streptophyta; Magnoliopsida; Brassicales; Brassicaceae.
UUCCCAGAAAGGUCAAGAUAAGUGAGGUUAUAAAGAUUUCCAAUAGAAGAUGGAAUCUUACCCGAAAUUUGAUUCAAAUGAAGGUUAAGAUAGGUGAGAUGAGAAAGGUUUCCAAUUGAAGAUGGAAUCGGACCAGAAAAACUAUUAGAUGAAAGAUCGAGAAAGGUGAGAUUCGAAAGGUCUAUAAUCGAAGAAAAAAUGAACUCGCUGAACUGAUUAAGUGAAAGGUCGAGAGAGGUGAUAUGAGAAAGGUUUUUAAUUGAAGACAUGAUUUGACCACUAAAACGAUUUCUUGAAAGGUCUAGGGUGGUUAGAGAAUGAAGGUUUUGAAGACUGCUAUUGGAAUGAAACCGGCCACCUAGGUAGCUGCAACUAAGGUCUAGCUCGAUCACUUCACCGGACUUGACGUUGCACGUGAUUGUAACGUCCCGACCCGCCCACGGCUAAUAGGCCACCCACGCCCGCUCUCUCGGCCCGUGGGCCCCAUCCCGUCUGACGGUCGGUCCGUUAAUUUUCCAAAGGCUCGAAAUCAUUGUUUACUGACCCUGCAAUCACCACCCGACCUUUUCCCAUGCUUUGGCCUCACUCGCACGCUAUCGCGAAUCACUUCCCGAUAGGUCACCCAUCCUUCCACUACUCCAGCUCAAGCACGCUUAACUCUGGAGUUCUUUCAGGAUGUGUUCCGGAAAAGGUAAGUCAACUUUGGUGACAUAGGUAGCCAAAUCAAUUAUCUUAAGCCUUUUUCACAUAUCACAACUCGGGAUGUUACAAUUCACCCCAUCUCAAAGAACGCAACGUCCUCGUUGCGCCCCAUGACAGGUCUUAAGACGCCUCUCAGGUCAGAACUGAGACGGCUAACCAGCUCUGAUACCACUUAUAACGCCCCGACCCGCCCACGGCUAAUGGGCCACCCACGCCCGCUCUCUCGGCCCGUGGGCCCCAUCCCGUCUGACGGUCGGUCCGUUAAUUUUCCAAAGGCUCGAAAUCAUUGUUUACUGACCCUGCAAUCACCACCCGACCUUUUCCCAUGCUUUGGCCUCACUCGCACGCUAUCGCGAAUCACUUCCCGAUAGGUCACCCAUCCUUCCACUACUCCAGCUCAAGCAUGCUUAACUCUGGAGUUCUUUCAGGAUGUGUUCCGGAAAAGGUAAGUCAACUUUGGUGACAUAGGUAGCCAAAUCAAUUCUCUUAAGCCUUUUUCACAUAUCACAACUCGGGAUGUUACAAUUUCCCACCAAAGGUUAUCGGAAUGGGAAACCUGAAAGAACUCCAGAGUUAAGCGUGCUUGAGCUGGAGUAGUGGAAGGAUGGGUGACCUAUCGGGAAGUGAUUCGCGAUAGCGUGUGAGUGAGGCCAAAGCACGGGAAAAGGUCGGGUGGUGAUUGCAGGGUCAGUAAACAAUGAUUUCGGGUCUUAGAAAAUUAACGGACUGACCGUCAGACGGGAUGGGGCCCACGGGCCGAGUGAGCGGGCGUGGGUGGCCCAUUAGCCGUGGGCGGGUCGGGGCGUUAUAAGUGGUAGGGAUUGUCGGAGUAGGCCAUUUGGUGCACGGGGAGUAGCACCAGCAGCACCAGCAGGACAGGCAGCACCAGCAGGACAGGCAGCACCAGCAGCACAGCCAGCACCAGUAGCACAGGGAGCGCAGGCAGCACCAGCUGCACCAUACGCACCAGGAGCUUGCUUCACUUGUGGCCAGUUUGGCCAUAUCUCCAGGUUUUGCCCGACUAAAGGGCCUGGGGCCAAGCGUCAAGCCAUCACCCCGCGUGUUUAUGCUCUAGGAGAGGCCAAUGGAGCUGAGCCGAUAGCCGGUAUGUAUCCUUAUCAUUUCUUUUUUUUUUUUUUGAGUAAUUGUGUUUUGGUGGAUAUCUAGUUAGAAAAAAAAAAAAAAGUCGACUUUUUUUGUGACAACCCGCCCCGUGGGAACUACCCGCCCCUUGGGCCCCAGGCUCACAGCGCUGCAGCGCACCGACCCCAACCCCUCAAUUAUGAGUUCUCUCUAACUCCAUAAUUAGGUUGUUGGUGAGCCUCGAACCCAGGACCUCACCCUUUAACAGCAUUCCCACAGGACAAGCUGUCACCAAUUGAUCUGCAGAUCAAUUGGUGACAGCUUGUCCUGUGGGAAUGCUGUUAAAGGGUGAGGUCCUGGGUUCGAGGCUCACCAACAACCUAAUUAUGGAGUUAGAGAGAACUCAUAAUAGAGGGGUUGGGGUCGGUGCGCUGCAGCGCUGUGAGCCUGGGGCCCAAGGGGCGGGUAGUUCCCGUGCUUUGGCCUCACUCACACGCUAUCGCGAAUCACUUCCCGAUAGGUCACCCAUCCUUCCACUACUCCAGCUCAAGCACGCUUAACUCUGGAGUUCUUUCAGGAUGUGCUCCGGGUUGUUACAAUUUCAGCAUGGGAAAAGGUCGGGUGGUGAUUGCAGGGUCAGUAAACAAUGAUUUCGAGCCUUUGGAAAAUUAACGGACCGACCGUCAGACGGGAUGGGGCCCACGGGCCGAGAGAGCGGGCGUGGGUGGCCUAUUAGCCGUGGGCGGGUCGGGACGUUACAAGUGGUAUCAGAGCUGGUUAGCCGUCUCAGUUCCGACCUGAGAGGCGUCUUGAGACCUGUCGGGGGCGCAACGAGGACGUUGCGUUCUUUGAGAGGGGGUGAAUUGUAACAUCCCGAGUUGUGAUAUGUGAAAAAGGCUUAAGAGAAUUGAUUUGGCUACCUAUGUCACCAAAGUUGACUUACCUUUUCCGGAACACAUCCUGAAAGAAUUCCAGAGUUAAGCGUGCUUGAGCUGGAGUAGUGGAAGGAUGGGUGACCUAUCGGGAAGUGAUUCGCGAUAGCGUGCGAGUGAGGCCAAAGCAUGGGAAAAGGUCGGGUGGUGAUUGCAGGGUCAGUAAACAAUGAUUUCGAGCCUUUGGAAAAUUAACGGACCGACCGUCAGACGGGAUGGGGCCCACGGGCCGAGAGAGCGGGCGUGGGUGGCCCAUUAGCCGUGGGCGGGUCGGGGCGUUAUAGUGAUACCCUCCCAAGUACAACAAUCGCUGCUAUUCCGCCAUGAUUCCGUUUUCGGAUGACGCUUUACUAUAUCAUCAUCAAAAUAACAAUCAUAAGCAAAGGAAGAGUUUAGAACCUCAAACUCGUUCUUCAACAGAAGAAGUGCAUCCCUUUGAUCCGGACGACACAAGUGCGUAGUUGGAACCGCAGACACGUCCCCAUAACUGUAGCCGAAUAAAAAAAGUAUAGAAAGAGUAAGAGAAAUGGUACUCGUUAAGUUCCAAAAGCCUUUCAUUCUUCUUUAAGCUUAUUUAACUUUCUUGAAUAUCAAAAACUGAAAGAGCAAAAAGAAAAGGGAAAUUGGUGAUGAGUAACAUGCUUCCAUGGCCAUUUCUUUAUAUACACAAUAAUAGACUCUGUAUUUACUCCACACAAAACAAAAUCCACAGAGAAAAAUACAUUAUUCGUCACGUCGAAAGCAAAAUCUUUGUGUCGGAUAGUCAAUUUUCUACACAUAUUGGUCCCCUACACUAAUUACAUGAAUUUUCAAAAAAAAAAGAAUUGUCUAAACCAAAGAAGACGUAAUUUAGGUUUAUAUUUGGAUUUAAACUAAGAGCACCCGCAAUGGGAAUCUUUAAGGAUGAGUCCUUAGGAAAAAAAUAAUUAAAUAAUCGGUGAAUCCCACCAAAAGUUAAGGAUUCAAUCUUUAAAAUUCCUAAAUAAGGACUCUUUUUUAGUGAAUCCUUGCACUAUUUGCGGGUCCCGACGACAUGUGGCGAUUCGCGAUUGGUUGAUAUUUAUUUUUUUUUAUCUAAAAAAAUAAAAUAAAUAAUAAUACUUAAAAAAUCAAAAUAUAUUUUUUCUAAAGAUUCGCCUUUGAGUAACACUAUUGUGGGUGCUCUAACGUAUACUACGACCCAUGCAUAUUGACCCAAAAGUACUAACGUUUACGAUUACGAGACCCAUGCAUAUUUGCAUAUAAUGUAGUCUUUCGAUUUGAUAGUACAAGUUUUAUCUUUUUUACUUAUUCUAUUUAAAAAUUCAAGAUUUUAUGACAUUCCUUGCUUUAAAAAAAGAACUAAUUUAACUACUAAACUAGCGUAAUUUUGAUAGAAUUUCAAAAUAAGAAUCAUGCAUCUCCUAUAUUAAUAAGAAGAAAACAAACAUCAACCUUUUCAAAAAAAAUCAACGGCGAACGGUCUUAUUUUUAUUUUUGGUUUAUUCCUCGUGACUUCCAAAAUGAAAAAUAUAUGCAAAAUGACAAAAAGAUUAAACUCUUUACUAAGAAUCAAUCAAAAUGAACAAAAAUAUCAAUCUGCAUGAGAACAUUCUUCAUAACAGAAAAAUCAACUCUUCGUCGUGAAUGUACCGGCGAUCGAGCCAUAUGGCCCAUAUCAUAGUGAGUACAUUCUUCAACUAAUAUUCCUCAGGGCGAGAUCGUCAGGAAGAAACCAAGAUUUUACUCGAUCGCUUUCUUUUUGUUUCUUCAAUAUAUGGCUGUAGUAACCAAAAACAAAUAAAUAAAUGUUGAUGAACCAAUCAGUUUCCGCAUUUUUUUCUUUCUCACGUCAAUAAUAACAAGUUUUGGUGAUAAUCAUCUCACUUUCAUUAGAUAAAAUAUACAGAAAAGAGACAACUAGUGAUGAGAAACCAAAACUUCCAUACGGAAGAGGCUCGUUCAGAUUUUCUUAUUAUGUUUUUCCCCACUUUCUAGAUUAAUGUAAUUUUGUAAUAUACAUUAUUAAUCGUUUCAUAUAUAGUUUCAAGCAACCUACGAGAGACUUCCAAGUCCACAAGAAGGUUAGGGGAAUCAUCUACCUUCAUCCAUGAACCAUCUUCACCACGCGGUUGAACCACGAAGCUGACUCCUUUCACGUCAGAAUCUACCACCAGCUCCGAAACGUAAUAGGCUGGUACGUGAGACACUCCUAGGAACACUCUCUCGCUUCUUGGUUUCUCCAGAACCUUUCUUGAUCUUAGUACAUCAGUUGACUUCACAUUCUCUGCAUACACAUUGUACACUGGGAGAACAGAGUCUUCAAGCUGUGUCUGUCUCCAUUCUAGCUUAACCUUAAGGAUCCUAGAACCGGAUUUACCCAGUACAAGCUCUAAGUUAUGAGCCUCGAUUACCCAUGAUGUCGCUGGAGGUAAGGAAACGAGGUUUUGCUGGAGUAGCUGAACAUGAUGAUCUUUGAUUGAGAUGUGAUCCAUGAUUCCCUCCUCCGUUAUAAGAUGCCUCUCUAGUACUAAACAAAUUCAUGUGCUCACCGUUAUACGUUUGCAAACAAAUAGUGAGCUGAAUGAUAUCAGUGUUGUCUUCCUUGAACUCUAGGAUUGGCUAACAUUAAUAACACAACAAAGGCACCCAUCAGAUGAGAGAAGAGACAAAAUAUUAUAUGCGCAGUUAAAGCGAGGACGAUAAGAUGGUUGAACCUGAAGACUUUGGCAAGAAAUGUUGUACCAUGGAGCAUCAGAUAACUGGCGACCCUCGAGUGAAACAUGGUAACCAAAGCUCUGGAUAAACGAGAAAAGAUAUUUUCAGAACAUAACUUAACAUAAAUCAUCGCCAAGACAGUCGAUGUAUACUUUACCUGAUUGAAGUCAGAGUAAAAAGGCAAGACUUGUGGAUAUGUUUGGACUACUCCCCAUGACUUCUCAACAAGUGACCACCAUCUGAAGGGAAAACGAAUGAACGAUAAUAAGAUGACAAAGAAAUGCCAAUUUAUUUUACAAGCAAACAGACAAAAGAAGUAAUACUUAUUCUGAGCUGUAUGAAAAUUAGGAGGCUGUGCAGUCUCAUAUACCCAUCCAGGAGCGAAAAUGGCAGCUGAUACAUUGUUUCUCUUCAGCAAAUCAAGAGCAGUAUUAACCUAUAAUAUAUAGAUUAAUGAGACAAUGAUUGAAUCUUUAAGCUUCUGAGAUUUCAGAUUGUUGAUUUGGAACCAUAUCUUUGAGCAUCUACUCAAUUGAGUUGAAUUGUGUUGUUGUUGUACAGGGAAGAAGUUGUAGAGAUUAGAUUGUGGAGAAGCUAUGGUAGAGCAAUGGUUGGAUCUGAGAAGAGAGCUCAGCUCAUGGAGAUUGGAGAAACUGUUAUUAUUCUUACUCACUAGGUUUCAAGUUAGAGUAAUGCUUUUUUUUUUUGUGUUUACUUAUCUUAUUUAGGGUACAUUGGUAGCAAAGCAGAUUGGUGAAAGAAACUCUUGUAGUAAUCUGACAGACAUAUCAACAUGUACUUUUGUCAAGUGUUUAAUGUAUUAUCGUUUGUGUAUCAAUGCCUGCAGUUCCAAAUAGAGUUUUUUUCUCCUUUUUUGUUAUCAGCAAUUAGUCUUUUGCGUAAUCAGGUCUCAAAGUUCUCUUUCCAGGACAAUGUACAUCAGAGACAUUCAUGUUCUUCCAUAAUUUACGUUUGGAAGACCAAACCCACCAAGCUAUUGUUUGGCUGUUUGCUUAUAUGACUUUGCAUCAAUCUUUAUCGUGUUGAAGCUCACGCAUCUUCUUCUGAAGAAGAUUGUUUCUGUAGAUUAAUAAAGAAGGGAACAGAAUGGGGGCAAGGCAUGGGCCUAUUCAUCAUUUGUGUUGGCUUGAUCUUUUCAUUGCUACUUACAUGAUUGGCUCGUGGGUUCGAGUCCAAGCUCGUAGGUCACACACAUCAUGAUCAUGUAGUGGCUUAUCUUUGAGAUUUUGGUAUUGAGCUUUAAGUAUAAUGUUGAAAAAUCAAAGGAUAACGUACCAGAGGGAUUGUGAAAGUGACCAAUCAGUUGGCUGUUUCUUUUUUGAGAUCGUGGACACCAAAACAAAGAGAAGCAAGACUUGGAUUCGAUUAAAAAGUCAGUCAAGAAAAAUAUAAAAAGAAAGAUCCAAGAGGAAUUUUCUUAUAAAAUGGAUAAUGAUCGUUAAACCCAAAUUUUAGUUGAGUAUAUAUAUAUUUAGUUAUUGUUAAUUGUUAAUUUAGAUUAUACAUAUUUAAUCAAACAAUCAAAGGUUGAAAUAGAAACAAGAGAGUGUGGACAUGAAGAAAACAAGACCCCUUUAGGCCUUUACUAGCCAUUUCUCUUCCUCUUCUACUCAUCAUUCAUUAUCAAUGAGAAUAUUACCAAUCACAAGAUAAAUCAACGCAAACUUUUUUUUUUUUUUUUUGUAUUGUCACAUUCGAAAAUCAUAAGCUUAAAACCUUUUGAACUUUGUAUAUACACAAAAUGGAAUCUUGAUAAUUAUAUUUGCAAAGUUUAUAGUUUCUAUGAGUUAAUGUGUCUCAUUGAUAUGAACAAUCGAAAUAUCCAUAUAUAAUAUGUACAUCCUUUUCUAAAGCGCUGUGUAACUGUGUUGAUUAUAGCUUUUAUCUGGAUCAUCUGUUCAUUGCUCAUCUCACGUCUAAACAGUUGAUGUUAAGAUUCACAAGAGGGGAAAAGACGACACAUCUUUGACUGUGCUUGUAAUUUUCAGCGUAAGAAACAUAGUUGUUGUUCAAUUACAGAGAAACAAAGAAAUUUGCUAAAACGUAAAAAAAAAUAGAGAUAGAGAAAAAACACACCAAGCUAAACCAGAAACGAUAUCCCAAAUCUUAUUUGAAAUUAUGAUAGACAUAGUAAUUGCUUCGGAUUUCAUCUUUCAGAUUCCGCAGGUAGCUUAUAAAAGACCUGUACCAAAAAAAGAAAAGGUUAACUCAGGUGAUUUCACUAUUAAUAUUUUUGUUUCUUCAAAUGUUUGCUAACAAGUUGACUUAAAACUCUAGAAUAUAUUACCUCUUUAAUGAGUUGUGCUGCUGCUGAUUCUGCGCUUGUUUCGGGCAAAAGGGUCGAUGAACCACUCUGGUUUGUAGGAAAAGAGUAUGUAACCAAUCACCCAUCCAAAGGCAAUACCAGGUAUGACUCCUAUUACAGCUGCUAUCCAACUCAACACCUCUUCUUCUUCUUCAUCCUCUGAUUCCGGUGUUUCAUGCGGUGUUGGCAUGUGGAUAUCUCUGCAAUCUUCGUCAAGAGAAGGGCCAAAAAGUCCCGGAUUAUCCUCAAAGUAAGUGCAGUCCAGCCUUUGAAACUGAGUGCCUCCUGGUACUAGACCUGUAAGCUUGUUAUGAGAGAAGUUCAUGUACGAAAGGAACGAGAGGCUCCCUAGCUCUUGCGGAAUUUCUCCUGAAAGCUUGUUUUGGGAAACGUCUAGUGACUCAAGAGCCGUCAGGUUUCCAAGAGAUGAAGGGAUGUGGCCAGUGAAAGCAUUGUUCGACAAGUUAAGCAUAAGAAGCCCUUUUAAUAGACCGAUGGACCUUGGGAUCUCUCCUUCAAAUUUGUUUCCUGAAAAGUCAAGUGCUGUGUAGAUCUUUAGGAUACGUACAAACUCCAUCUCUAUACCUUUAUUCAUCAACACCAUUGAAUCAUGGUAAUAGGAACCUCCCAUGUAAUUGUCAAACCGCUGAUCAUAAUUGUCCCCCAAUGAUGACAUAGCACUCCACUUCACAAAGUAGUCUGAUGACAAAGAUCCAUUGAAGUGAUUGUGCGAUAUGUCGAUGAUUUGCAACUUAGGGAACGAAGUUUGAAGUACCGGUCCAUGGAACGCAUUGGAGCGUAAUACAAGAAUUUUUAACUCUCGUAGAGAAUGCAACCAGAACGGAAACGUAUCAUUGAAAAUGUUGCUUUCCACGUUCAGAACUUCAAGACUAGAGAAAUGGAUCAAAGAUCUUGGAAGCCUUCCUGUCAGUUGGUUAUGACCAACGUCAAGCGUUCUUAAGCUUUCAAAUAUAGUCUCCGGAAGACCUCCAUGAAGACGAUUUUGACGAAGGUUUAGAUAUAAAAGAGAACGUUUGAGAUUUCCCAGACAACGAGGGAUUAAACCGACGAAUUUGUUGUUCGAUAAAUCAAGAGUGUAUACAUAGCGCAAAUCACAUAUGAAAGAGGGAAUCUUUCCCGUGAAAUUGUUGUUGGAGGCAAUCAAGUUUACGAUAGAAACUGUUGUUGAGUUUCCGAAGCCAGUGAAAGUGUUGUUGGAAAGAUUCAGGUAAGCCAGCUUUGGUAGCGUCCAUAACCAGCCAGGCACUUGACCUUUGAUUUUAUUGUUGGAAAUGUCUAGCCACUCCAUAUGUUGGUUUCUUGGAAAUUCUGGAAACUCGGUGAUACCGCAGCCUGACAAUUCCAAAUAACGCAGCAAAGGGGGACCUGAAACUGGACUCUUGUUUGUGGCAGAAACAGGGUUGCCUGAGAGAACCAACCUCUCGAGCCUCUUAAAAUAUGACAAGAAAUCAUUCAAGUCAAUGGCAGUGGUCGUGUUCAAAUAGGAUAGGUCAAGAUCUUCCAGCCUCUUGAGAUGCGAGAAGAUGUUAAAGUCCACUGGAGCUUGUGUCUUGUAGUGGGAAAGGUCAAGUUGGACAAGGUUGGUAAAUUUGGAUAUCGCGGCCGGGAUUGGCCCUCUCAAGUUGUUAUUGCCAACGUCUAACUUUCGUAGCUGAGGUGGUGAAGAUAUAUUCCCAAACUCAAGAAUACCGUUUAAUUGAUUAUCAGACAAAUCAACAAUAUCCAUAGAAGGAAUGGUGAAGAGAGAAGAAGGCAGGGUCCCAGUGAAAGCGUUGCUACUUGCUAAAAAAAUCGUCAAUUUGGAUAGUGAAGUGAUGUUAUGAGGAAUUGUUCCUGUGAACUGAUUGUAAUAGAGUCCUAAAUAUGACAACUUUGUCAAAUUCAGUAGUGCAAUGGGAAAGCUUCCAUUGAGCCUAUUGAAACCAACACGUAAGGUGGUCAACUGGUUUAGAUUGCCAAAAGAAGAUGGGAUUUCACCAACAAUAUUGUUCCUAGAAAGGUCAAGAUAAGUGAGGUUAUAAAGAUUUCCAAUAGAAGAUGGAAUCUUACCCGAAAUUUGAUUAAAAUAAAGGUUAAGAUAGGUGAGAUGAGAAAGAUUUCCAAUCAAAGAUGGAAUCGGACCAGAAAGAAGGUUCCAUGAAAGAUCGAGAUAGGUGAGAUAAGAAAGGUUUCCAAUAGAAGAUGGAAUCUGACUCAAAAAAGGAUUAACAGAAAGAUCAAGAUAGGUGAGAUGAGAAAGGUUUCCAAUUGAAGAUGGAAUCUGACCAGAAAAACGAUUAGAUGAAAGAUCGAGAAAGGUGAGAUAAGAAAGGUCUACAAUCGAAGAAGGAAUGAACUCGCUGAAACCAUUUUGCGAAAGG